AGAAGCAAAGAGAUUUGCUGCUUGAAUCUCUGUGUGGGUGAGCUCUGCAGAGAGAGGUCUGAAUAGAGGGGAGGACCAAGGAGUUUAAAGACUGAACGCGCGCUCAGUGAAAAAGGCAGGGAUUGCACUCCCUUUUCUCUCUGGAAUAACAAUCAAAGGAAAAAAGGAGGAGAGACUGAGUUUCACUUCAUGCUUCAGCCAGAGCACACGGAUACGACAAGCAUGCCAAACUCUUUCAUCUGCCUGGGAUUGCUCUCUUCCAGAGUGGUUUUCCUUUCUAAGAUGCUGUUAAACUCCCUUCCUCAUGAGUUUCCCAUCCUUUAAAUGAAGAGGGAACCGUUCCAGUCCUGGAGAUAUCCUGAUGUCUUUUCUGCAGCGUGGGAAGGAGAUGGAAAGAAAACAGCAAGAACUGCUUGUUUGGUGCAUUCCUGGGGACUGUGCUUGCCCCUGCAGUAUCCCAGCACCACCCCAGCAACGUGUUGGGUGACGUGAGUAACAUCUGUCACACGCUGUUUGCUCUUUUCAUCCCCGUCCCAGGGGUGAGCGCUGCACCGUGGCCUUGCUUCAGAU
Molecule: long non-coding RNA, 570 nt
Filed under: Calidris pugnax (ruff)
Lineage: Eukaryota; Metazoa; Chordata; Aves; Charadriiformes; Scolopacidae
Description: lncRNA (ENSCPUG00000013064.1)
Source: RNAcentral